GUGCUCACUUCGCAGCACAUAUACUAAAAUUGGAACAAUAUAAAGAAGACUAGCAUGGCCCCUGUGCAAGGAUGACACACAAAUUCAUGAAACAAUCUAUAUUUUU
Small nuclear RNA from Equus asinus (donkey), 106 nucleotides. Lineage: Eukaryota; Metazoa; Chordata; Mammalia; Perissodactyla; Equidae. The record is from Ensembl.